Molecule: non-coding RNA, 83 nt
Organism: Merluccius polli (Benguela hake)
Lineage: Eukaryota; Metazoa; Chordata; Actinopteri; Gadiformes; Merlucciidae
Source: the annotation of a GenBank genome assembly
GGCAGGAUAGUCCAGGAUAGUGAUUAGGGGCGUUCGACUUCCAGCCGAAAGGUUCUGGGUUCGAUCCCCAAUGUCCCCGUCCU